GAGAGAGGAGAGGGGAGGGGAAAGUAGAGCGGUCUGUGAAUUCAUGCUGUGUUAGCAUCCCCUAAGCAACUCCAUCAAUACUGCAUACAGCUGAGAAACUGGCAAAGAGCCCUGGUGCUGCAUUGGAGGGCUACAGUAGCGAGAGAGAGAGAGAGAGAGAGAGAGAGAGAGAGAGGGUGAUAGAGAGAAAGGAGCUUACAGUGUGACCACUAACUGCUUCUUGCUGCUGUUCUGUUCUGUUCUGUUCUGUUCUGUUCUGUGCUGUGCUGUGCUGUGCUGUGGAGCUCUCUCACUGGGACUCAGCCCCUUGUGUGGAACAACUGCAUCCACUGCAGUCAGAGAGAAACAGAAGGAGCGAGGGAGAAGAGAGAAAGAAAAGGAGUGAGUAAGACUGGGAGAAACGAAGAGAGAGAGAGAGAGAGAGAAACAGAGAGAGAGAAAGAGAGAGAAAGAGACAACAGGAGCUGAGCACAGGAAGACACAGGUCGGGAGUACUCAGUGGGAAGAAGGCAGACCCACCGGGGGCAGGGAUUGUGUCUUGAGGGGGGAUCUGUGCUAGUAUGUUAGCGCACUCCGCAGGAUUGGCUAAACACCGGGGACUGUGACAGGACCUCAGUGCACCUGCUUCAGACAGGCUUUGGGCAAUGCGGAGCGACUGAUGCCUGCAAUGGCAGACCUGGACCUGCAGACCCUGAUACCACCCCUCCAGCACUCCAGCCACCACCACCACCACCACCACCCCCAAGCCCAGGGGCCCAACCUGAAGAUCUGACCCAGCCCUACCUCCUCCUUCCCUGGCCUUGCUUCAAACGGGCCUCCUGGCUUCACCCUGGGCCCACCAUGGGAGGAUGCCUCUCCAAACCCAAACCAGGUGACCCUCCAGCACCCCACACCCCCACGCCCCCCUUACCUCCAUUUAAACAAAAAAAUAACUUAACCUACCCCCUUUUCAAAUCCUGAAAUAAUUGGCACCCAGCUAUAUAUAGGUCACAGAAAUGGCUUGCCUGACAGCCCUCUACACAGCAUAGGCGUUUUUUGAGGAGGAGGAAUUUUA
Clupea harengus (Atlantic herring) is the source of this 1054-nucleotide long non-coding RNA. The record is from Ensembl. Lineage: Eukaryota; Metazoa; Chordata; Actinopteri; Clupeiformes; Clupeidae.